GUCCACGCUGUAAACGAUGGGCACUAGAUGCCGGGCCUAUAGACGGGUUCGGUGUCGCAGCUAACGCAUUAAGUGCCCCGCCUGGGGAGUACGGCCGCAAGGCUGAAACUCAAAGGAAUUGACGGGGGCCCCGCACAAGCGGUGGAGCAUGUGGUUUAAUUCGAAGCAACGCGAAGAACCUUACCUAGGCUUGACAUACUGGUGAAACCCCGUGGAAACACGGGGCCUCCUUCGGGACACCAGUACAGGUGCUGCAUGGCUGUCGU
This 266-nucleotide ribosomal RNA is filed under the name uncultured bacterium. Its description in RNAcentral is "partial 16S ribosomal RNA". It matches the Rfam family "Bacterial small subunit ribosomal RNA", at positions 793 to 1055 of the family's 1533-position model. The record is from RNAcentral.